ACUCAAAGGAAUUGACGGGGGCCCGCACAAGCAGUGGAGUAUGUGGUUUAAUUCGAAGCAACGCGAAGAACCUUACCGGGGCUUGACAUCCUGCGAAUCCUUCAGAGAUGAGGGAGUGCCUUCGGGAGCGCAGAGACAGGUGGUGCAUGGUUGUCGUCAGCUCGUGUCGUGAGAUGUUGGGUUAAGUCCCGCAACGAGCGCAACCCUUGUUGAUAGUUGCUACGCAAGAGCACUCUAUCGAGACUGCCGCUGACAAAGCGGAGGAAGGUGGGGACGACGUCAAAUCAUCAUGCCCCUUAUGUCCCGGGCUACACACGUACUACAAUGGCCGUUAACAAAGGGCAGCGAAGCCGCGAGGCGGAGCAAAUCCCCAAAAACGGUCUCAGUUCGGAUUGUAGGCUGCAACUCGCCUACAUGAAGUCGGAAUUGCUAGUAAUCGCGAAUCAGCAUGUCGCGGUGAAUACGUUCCCGGGCCUUGUACACACCGCCCGU
This 492-nucleotide ribosomal RNA is filed under the name uncultured bacterium. RNAcentral describes it as "bacterial SSU rRNA". It matches the Rfam family "Bacterial small subunit ribosomal RNA", at positions 899 to 1397 of the family's 1533-position model. The record is from RNAcentral.